This 406-nucleotide ribosomal RNA is filed under the name uncultured bacterium. Its description in RNAcentral is "partial 16S ribosomal RNA". It matches the Rfam family "Bacterial small subunit ribosomal RNA", at positions 29 to 526 of the family's 1533-position model. The record is from RNAcentral.
AUUGAACGCUGGCGGCAGGCCUAACACAUGCAAGUCGAACGAGUGGCGGACGGGUGAGUAAUGUCUGGGAAACUGCCCGAUGGAGGGGGAUAACUACUGGAAACGGUAGCUAAUACCGCAUACCAUCGGAUGUGCCCAGAUGGGAUGAGCUAGUAGGUGGGGUAACGGCUCACCUAGGCGACGACCCCUAGCUGGUCUGAGAGGAUGACGGGCAACACUGGAACUGAGACACGGGCCAGACUCCUACGGGAGGAAGCAGUGGGGAAUAUUGGACAAUGGGCGCAAGCCUGAUGCAGCCAGGCCGAGUGUAUGAAAAAGGCCUUCGGGUUGUAAAGUACUUUCAGCGGGGAGGCGUUACCCGCAGAAGAAGCACCGGCUAACUCCGUGCCAGCAGCCGCGGUAAUUC